RNAcentral lists this transfer RNA (20 nucleotides) under Adelphobates galactonotus (splash-backed poison frog). RNAcentral describes it as "partial tRNA-Phe". The record is from RNAcentral. Lineage: Eukaryota; Metazoa; Chordata; Amphibia; Anura; Dendrobatidae.
AAGCAAAUCCUUAAAACACA